AUUGAACGCUGGCGGCAGGCCUAACACAUGCAAGUCGAGCGAGCGGCGGAGGGGGGAGUAAUGUCUGGGAAACUGCCUGUUGGAGGGGGAUAACUACUGGAAACGGUAGCUAAUACCGCAUACCAUCAGAUGUGCGCAGAUGGGAUUAGCUAGUCGGUGGGGUAAUGGCUCACCUAGGCGACGAUCCGUAGCUGGUCUGAGAGGAUGACCAGCCACACUGGGACGGAGACACGGUCCAGACUCCUACGGGAGGCAGCAGUGGGGAAUAUUGGACAAUGGGCGCAAGCCUGACGCAGCCAUGCCGCGUGUGUGAAGAAGGCCUUCGGAUUGUAAAGCACUGUCGGCAGGGAAGCGGUACCCGCAGAAAAAGCAACGGCUAACUCCGUGCCAGCCGCCGCGGUAAUUC
RNAcentral lists this ribosomal RNA (406 nucleotides) under uncultured bacterium. RNAcentral's name for it is "partial 16S ribosomal RNA". It matches the Rfam family "Bacterial small subunit ribosomal RNA", at positions 29 to 526 of the family's 1533-position model. The record is from RNAcentral.